CCCCGCCCCGCCCGGCCCCGCC
This 22-nucleotide microRNA is filed under the name Gallus gallus (chicken). Its description in RNAcentral is "gga-miR-12245-3p". Lineage: Eukaryota; Metazoa; Chordata; Aves; Galliformes; Phasianidae. The record is from miRBase by way of RNAcentral.